AGAGUCAACGCUGGCGGCGUGCCUAACACAUGCAAGUCGAACGAGAAAGGGACUUCGGUCCUGAGUACAGUGGCGCACGGGUGAGUAACACGUGACUAACCUACCCUGGAGUGGGGAAUAACUGAGGGAAACCUUAGCUAAUACCGCAUAAUACCUACGGGUCAAAGGAGCAAUUCGCUUCAGGAGGGGGUCGCGGCCGAUUAGCUAGUUGGCGGGGUAAUGGCCCACCAAGGCAAUGAUCGGUA
Molecule: ribosomal RNA, 245 nt
Filed under: uncultured bacterium
Lineage: Bacteria
Description: partial small subunit ribosomal RNA
Rfam family: Bacterial small subunit ribosomal RNA
Source: RNAcentral